RNAcentral lists this ribosomal RNA (467 nucleotides) under uncultured bacterium. Its description in RNAcentral is "partial 16S ribosomal RNA". It matches the Rfam family "Bacterial small subunit ribosomal RNA", at positions 29 to 507 of the family's 1533-position model. The record is from RNAcentral.
ACGAACGCUUGCGGCGUGCUUAACACCUGCAAGUCGAACGGAAAGGCCCUGCUUUUGUGGGGUGCUCGGGUGGCGAACGGGUGAGUAACACGUGAGUAACCUGCCCUUGACUUUGGGAUAACUUCAGGAAACUGGGGCUAAUACCGGAUAGGAGCUCCUGCUGCAUGGUGGGGGUUGGAAAGUUUCGGCGGUUGGGGAUGGACUCGCGGCUUAUCAGCUUGUUGGUGGGGUAGUGGCUUACCAAGGCUUUGACGGGUAGCCGGCCUGAGAGGGUGACCGGCCACAUUGGGACUGAGAUACGGCCCAGACUCCUACGGGAGGCAGCAGUGGGGAAUAUUGCACAAUGGGCGGAAGCCUGAUGCAGCAACGCCGCGUGCGGGAUGACGGCCUUCGGGUUGUAAACCGCUUUCGCCUGUGACGAAGCGUGAGUGACGGUAAUGGGUAAAGAAGCACCGGCUAACUACGUG